Syngnathoides biaculeatus (alligator pipefish) is the source of this 2130-nucleotide long non-coding RNA. RefSeq lists it as uncharacterized. NCBI's taxonomy places the organism in Eukaryota, Metazoa, Chordata, Actinopteri, Syngnathiformes, Syngnathidae. The transcript has 3 exons. The record is from RefSeq and is a predicted model, not a curated record.
CUAGCCGUUCGCGUCCUGUGUUGAUUUGCUGCCGUACAACGCGCCCAACUGAGAAAGGAAACCUCGCGGCGAAAUGCGGCGGCGUUAUUUUGAAUCCCGGCGACCGCUCCCCCAUCCUGACCCCGAAGUAGCCCGAAAGGCGAGCGGACUAAACGUCUUUGUUUUAACUUAGGACAAAGUACAGAGUAGAUAUUUGGAAUGGUCACACGGUCUUGCGUUCGGCAGCAGAUGCCAGGAACGCGCCUCGGAGAUGUGUUUGGCUUUCAGCGCACACGCGUGCCAACAGGAAGUUGUGUAACACUGGCAGGAAGCGCGGCCGUGGCGGCCUCUCGGAGGAUGACCUCCGGCCACCUUGACUCGGCUCAACUUCCCGUCGGACUCUUCGGGGAACAUUCCGCACUUUAUUUUGAAAGCAAGCGUCAAAACAUGUCAAACUAAUGGUCAACAUGUUCAAGUGAUCCGCACUCGAAGCUAAUCUGAGCUCAUAUCGCCACGGAUGUCGUGGCCGCGCGUUUGCGCGUUCAGAGCCCGCACGCGGCCUGGUUCUGACCUGCUCGCUGGAGCUCAUCCGCAACAAGAUGUUGGCGCCGGCUCAAGGCCCGCUUCCUGGAGAACAACGGCGUCGCCAUCAACUUCCUGAGAACCGAGGUGGAUUCAUUUUCCAAAGCCUAAAACAGUCUACGGUGGAUUACGGAUGCAGGCUGGGCGAAGUGCGCGCGUGCAACUAAAUGUGGACAAUAUCAACAACCGCAAGGCCGGAUGUUCCGAGUCCUUUUCAGAUGAGCUACUGCAAGAGAUGACGACGUGCCGAUUAUGCCCAUCAGUUUCGGCGUCGGGGUUGGUGUCAGAAGUGGAUGAAUAUUAUCCCUAAUUUUGCCCCGUCCAUUUUGGGAGCUGCUUAUCCUCACUGGCGGUCGAGCGAGCGCUGGAGCCAAUCCCAGCUCUCUUCAAGCGGGAGGCGGGGCACGCCCUCAACUGGUCGCCGGCCAAUCACAGUUGAGAUAUUUCUUCUUCAUUUGGUGAUCAUUGUAUACAUUCCUGCCCAGCAUGAUUGGACGGUGUUCUAAAGUGACGUAACGCAAAUGAUGUUUUUUUUUUUCCUGACAUUAUUUGUCUUUUGCUGCACGUUGACGUUUUUUAUUAUUAGGCCCUAUUUAUGUUUAAAAAAGAAAACCUCAUACACAUGGUAAUCAAUUAAAUUCUGUUACUAACAAAGGCAUAAAAACCUGCCUUCAAUUUAUUUCAUCAAAAUCAAACGUGAACACCAAGUCCUGACCAAAGAAGGAUGCAGAUUUUUUUUUUAAAAUCAACGAUAAAAAGAAUGAUUAUUCUUUUGUUCAAGGCCUUAAGGAGAUGUUUGAAAGCUUCUUGGAUUCGACAGAACCUUUUCGUAUAAUGAGGAGCAUCCCGCCACAUCAGAGGUCUUCUUCAUUCUUCAUCGUGCUUGCGUCUGUUGCCAUGACGACACGACUUUUGAAACUCAGGCGCGAGCUCAACCAGAAACGUCGGAAAACAAGGCCCAAACAGGAAGUUGACAGACAGGAAGUGGGAAGUUGUCAUAGCAAUAAUAACCACAAGCACAAUCGCGCUAGCAAAUGAAUACAAACAUUUGUCCAGCCAAUUUCCAAGCUCCUUAUCCUCACAAGGGAGUGUCGGAGUCGAUCCCAAGCAUCUUCGGCAGGAGGCGGGGUACCAACACCCCGAAUAGGUCGCCAGCCAAUCUCGGGGCACACACAGAAAAAAAAUCAAGCUUGCGUGCAUGGUUUUUUUUUUGUUUUUUUUUUUUUUCUCCACACUUGGCUAGACCGGAUUUGAACCCGCAACCUCGCGUGUGAGUCAGAUGUGGUAACUGCUGUUCCGCUGAGAUGUCAAAAAUAUAUCGCUCACAUUUUGACAUAUUGCCACUAAAUUGUUCAUAUUCCACAGCCUGAUUUUUUUUUUUUUUUUUACGCUGUACAUUUAAAAACAUAUUUGGUUACUUUUUUUUCCACGUCUGUGUCCAAUAAAAUUUCCUUUUGUUCGUUUCAGACUUGCUCUUUUACUUGGAAGCAAAUCAUUUGUACUUUUUAAAGAACUUCACUCAGGUGAAGGAAAUCACUUUGGCUUUGGCGCCUUUGAGAGUUUGGACAA